This 253-nucleotide ribosomal RNA is filed under the name uncultured bacterium. Its description in RNAcentral is "partial 16S ribosomal RNA". It matches the Rfam family "Bacterial small subunit ribosomal RNA", at positions 524 to 776 of the family's 1533-position model. The record is from RNAcentral.
UACGGAGGGGGCUAGCGUUGUUCGGAAUUACUGGGCGUAAAGCGCGCGUAGGCGGAUCUGCAAGUCGGGGGUGAAAUCCCGAGGCUCAACCUCGGAACUGCCUUCGAUACUGCGGGUCUCGAGUCCGGGAGAGGUGAGUGGAAUUCCUAGUGUAGAGGUGAAAUUCGUAGAUAUUAGGAAGAACCCCAGUGGCGAAGGCGGCUCACUGGCCCGGUACUGACGCUGAGGCGCGAAAGCGUGGGGAGCAAACAGG